CGUAGGGUGCGAGCGUUGUCCGGAAUUAUUGGGCGCAAAGAGCUCGUAGGCGGUCUGUCGCGUCGAUCGUGAAAACUUGGGGCUUAACCCUGAGCUUGCGGUCGAUACGGGCAUGACUGGAGUUCGGCAGGGGAGACUGGAAUUCCUGGUGUAGCGGUGAAAUGCGCAGAUAUCAGGAGGAACACCGGUGGCGAAGGCGGGUCUCUGGGCCGAUACUGACGCUGAGGAGCGAAAGCGUGGGGAGCGAACAGGAUUAGAUACCCUGGUAGUCCACGCCGUAAACGGUGGGCGCUAGGUGUGGGGGCCAUUCCACGGUCUCUGUGCCGUAGCUAACGCAUUAAGCGCCCCGCCUGGGGAGUACGGCCGCAAGGCUA
Molecule: ribosomal RNA, 374 nt
Filed under: uncultured organism
Description: bacterial SSU rRNA
Rfam family: Bacterial small subunit ribosomal RNA
Source: RNAcentral